UGCCAACCAAAUACUUUCUUCUGAGGUCGGAAUAAUUUUGGUGACAUCUGCACCUAUUUCGACCCUAACCGUCGACUCCCGAGAAGAAAUCAUCGAGCGACCUUAGCCUUCCAAGACUUCUGCUCGGACUGAGUCUUCUAAGGAGGCUGACGAUGAUGAGGCUCUUCUCGAUGAUAUUUCAAAGGAUCUAUUUUUUUAAGACUAGAAGGCAGUCUGAAAAACUAUCGAGAACUUGAUAAUUCUAGAAGAGUUGAC
RNAcentral lists this long non-coding RNA (255 nucleotides) under Elaeis guineensis (African oil palm). RNAcentral's name for it is "long non-coding RNA (EGUI_LNC028965)". Lineage: Eukaryota; Viridiplantae; Streptophyta; Magnoliopsida; Arecales; Arecaceae. The record is from RNAcentral.